GAUGAACGCUGGCGGCGUGCCUAACACAUGCAAGUCGAACGAAGCACCUUACUUGAUUCUUCGGAUGAAGGUCUGGUGACUGAGUGGCGGACGGGUGAGUAACGCGUGGGUAACCUGCCCUGUACAGGGGGAUAACAGCUGGAAACGGCUGCUAAUACCGCAUAAGCGCACGAAGAGACAUCUCCUAGUGUGAAAAACUCCGGUGGUACAGGAUGGGCCCGCGUCUGAUUAGCUGGUUGGCAGGGUAACGGCCUACCAAGGCAACGAUCAGUAGCCGGUCUGAGAGGAUGAACGGCCACAUUGGAACUGAGACACGGUCCAAACUCCUACGGGAGGCAGCAGUGGGGAAUAUUGCACAAUGGGGGAAACCCUGAUGCAGCAACGCCGCGUGAGUGAAGAAGUAUUUCGGUAUGUAAAGCUCUAUCAGCAGGGAAGAUAAUGACGGUAC
RNAcentral lists this ribosomal RNA (448 nucleotides) under uncultured bacterium. Its description in RNAcentral is "bacterial SSU rRNA". It matches the Rfam family "Bacterial small subunit ribosomal RNA", at positions 28 to 478 of the family's 1533-position model. The record is from RNAcentral.